GCCAAAGAGCGGGCCUAGGAUACAGACAGCUGGGAACAGCACGCUCACAUCACGUGAUACAGAGGGAGUGGAGGAGAAGCCACAUGAUGGGGUGGUUAGGGAAGGCUUUCAAAGGUCAUGUUUGAACCAGUCCUGAGUGGUGGACAGGGGUAGUCAGGCAAAUAUCUGGGCCCAGAGUAUUCCAGGUGAAGAGAUAAGCGGUUACGGGAACCACAGAUGGGGACCGAGGGCCACGGGUGACGAGCCGCUCGGAAGAAAGCAACGUAGGGCAGACUAUAAGCUGCCUACGACUUGAGCGGGGAGCCGAGCACGUGGAGCUCUGUAGUUGCUCAGGAGAGGUCCGGUGAUGCGAAUGAGAAGCUGCCCUUUUGGAAUCCUCAUCCCAGAACCCUGGACAGUACCUGGACACAGUGUCUUUUAAAAAUCUCCUCAAAGUACCAAUGGUUUAAUAAAAUCUGGAAUGCUUACGUGGCUCAGAUCUGGGAACUGAAGCAACAAACCCAACUGCCCAAGCUGGUUUUCCAUGAGCAUGUGGAGGUGGCCGUGGCUGGGAGACUGCACUGUAUUUCCUGCAACCCAGGAAGCAAUUGGGUGGACAGGCAGGUUCAGCCUCUGCACGUGCCUCAGAGACAGCUCUCCUGGCAGGUGGACGUUGGCUGGUGAGUGCUGUUUGCACUAGCCGAGAGCUGGAAACGACAACCUUCUAGAAAGAGGGGUUGGUUACAUAAGCAUUCCGCAUCUAUACAGAAAAAUUCUAGCAGGAAUUACAAAGAUAAAAAUACUAAUAUCAACAGAAAAAAAUCACUCUAAAAGGAAUACAUUGUAAAGUGAAAAAUAAAAAAUGGCUUGGCUAUCAAAUGUCAUAUACACUCUUGACCCAUUUUGUAUGUUAAUCUAUGUAUAUACAUAUGUAGAAGACUAUAGAACAAUGCCGAUAUUAUUUAUCUUUUGGGAAUGGAGUCAUAUUGAAUUGCUUGAGUUUUGUGUAUACUUAUAAUAAGAAAAAUUCAAAUAGUAUAAUACAAGUAGCUUGAUUAAUAUUUUAAUAAUAUAUUUAUACUAGGAAAUACUGCAGAAGAGUGCAAGGACUGAAAUAAACACCCAUGGAAGUCUCACGCCAAUGGAAUAUUUAUGUUAAUAUUUUACUCUGGUGUUCUAAAAGAAUUCUUUACACAUUAAUAUGAAAUGCAGCCAAAUAUGUUAUAUCCAGGAUUACCAUGCCAUGCUCUUGACAUUGCUCGUUUUCUUUUAAACCCAAGUAAAUACGAGGAGAUUCAAGUUGUAUUCUUCUCCCUGAACGCUAUUUAGUUUAGGUAAUCUUGUGCUUCCUCAGUUUCCUACUUACAGAUGUUUAAGAUUCUGAAUUUAAUUCAGAUUAUUUUCUAGUUUGAAGAACAUCCUCAUACAUUGUUGCAAUGAAAUCAUUCUAAGACAUUUAAAAGUUCUCACUUUUCAGUUAGAGCCCCUAAAACACUUGCUGAGCUCAGCUUGCAACGUCUACCCCGGGCAGCAGACAAAGACGGCCUCAUGACAGUGAACAUGUUGGUCAUCUGGUUCGGGAAGCUUCUAUGCCACACAAUAUUUCCCCCCAGUAGGCAGUUUCAUUACCUAACAGGGAUCACAUCUUUGCCCUUUGUAUCCAGUAUCUGAGGCAGGGAAGCAUUUGUUCUAGUCAAUCCUCGUGAAUAAAUUAAAGAACUGAUUCUGAUUUAUAGUAGACUACUGCUUUCAUUGUCAUUUAUUGGCCUUUAUGUAAAGCCUUGAAUUUGCUUAGGCUCAAAGCCAGUGCCUUCUUCACUGUCUUCCGCACACAUGGCCCUGCCAGCUUGUGGGUACCCACGUGUGUAGGUCUCCAAAGCCUUGGCACUUGCUUUUUUCUCCCUUAUUUUUCUGUUUCUUAUUUUGAUGAUUUAUUAAAAACUAGACUAUUACUGAGAAAAAAAUAUAUAAGGAAGAAAAUUCCAGAGACGGGUUUCAGAACUUCAAACCAGUAGCAAUGAAAAUGGCAUUCACAUAGAAGUUCGGGAAAGUUGCAUAGCAGAACAAAGACUUCUUUUAUGACACACAGCUGGUUUGACCACAGUUUCAGUAAGUGACAGCCAAAUACAGAAACGAAGCUUGCUGACUCAGUCUGCUGCACUAACCACCAAACUCAGGCAGCUCCUCCCUUCGCUCUGCAGGGCAGAAACACAGGGCCUGCAGAUGCUGCCCUUUCUGAAGCAGGCAGGCUGCUGGAAAAUGGCCAGUUCUGGAGGCUGCCCGGUGUAGUGUGUCAUUUUACCAGAUGGGUGCCACACCCAGACACCUUGGAAAGGUUCUCAUGGUGGAAAUGAGGUCAUCUCAAAGCUUAGUAUUAUGUGGAAAUAAUCCUGAGUGCCAACAAAUAUUCCUGUGGAAAAUGGAAUGCUUUAUUCUUGGUUUCAAAAUUCCCUUACUUAUUUUCUUCCAGUCCUCGUGUCUACGAAUGACCCUGAAGAGACUGAGAGACUUUUUAUUAACCCACGAAAUUAGCAUCACUGUGCAACUUAAAUCACUCGUCUGUUUGCUAAGAGCCACAUGCAUUGUUUCAUGCAGGCCCAAUGUUGUUCAACCUCAAGUGCUUCUCCAUUUUUCUCUCUGUAAUUAAUUGUACAAAACAAAGAAUUUCAUUUUGGUAUUUUCAUACGUGUUUUUAUCAUAUUGGGAUUAUAUCCACCUCCCGUUGUCUUUUCUUACCCUGCCCCUUCUCAUCCUAGUCUCCUUACUCCCCCUUUUACUUUUAUGCCCUCCUCUUCCUAUCCCUUUGCAAAAACAGAUGCCAAAGAAGACACACAGUACUCUCUUUCUGAAUUUAUCGUAUUUCACUCAACACGAUGAUCCUCAGUUUCAUCCUUCUGUGUGUGGACAACACGACUUUCUUCUUCUUUAUGGGUAACUAAUAUUCCACUGCGUAUGUACAUUUCUAUUCAUUCAUCUCAGCGAACAGCAGACUGGUUCCACAGCUGAGCUCUGGUGAGUACCGUUGGUGAACACAGCCAUACAAAAGUUUCUGCAGUUUACUGACUUGGAUUCUGUCACAGAUAUCCAGAAAUGCUACAGCUGCACCAUAUGACAGUUCUAUUUUCUGAAGAACUUCCAUACUGAUUUCCAUAUUGUCUAGUUUAAUUUACAUCCCUGCAAAGGGAAUAAAGGCUCCCCCUCAUGUCCUCACCAGUAUUUGUGGUGGUUUUUGUGGUGGUCACUGUUCUGGUGGGGAUGAGAUGGAAUCUCACUGUACCUUUGAUUUGUAUCUCCCUGGUAGCCAAAGCUCUUGUCUCUUCUCUCUGUUAAUUGUCCUUCGCUAUGCAGAAUUAUUUAAUUUUAUUGGUAAAUAAAGCAUUUCCUUCUCAGGUCAUUGCCAGCUGUGUCGGUGAUACACGCCAGUGAUCACAGACCUCAGGAGGCUGAUGCAGGAAGUUUACAAGUUCAAGGCCUAGGCUACCUCCUCACUGGAAUGUGCUGUCUGUUGCUGUGCUGGGACCUUUUAGUCGUAUGAGGGCCUGUUUUUCAAUUGCUGCUGUUAAUGCCAGGCCUACAGGUGUCCUGCUCAGAAGUUUUCUUCCUGUGUCAAGUAGUUCAGUCUUAAACAAGCAGCCUGUCUCAACACUCUGCCCAGCUAUCUCACUUGGAGAUAUGAGGAGUUACAAAAUGGAUCUCUUCUCUGAUGCUGGCCUGGGACACAGAAAGAUUCAUUGUUACAUCAAAUCGCCUUGCUGAUUUGAAGGUGUACCAGAACUGUGGGUUUGACUGGGACUGUCAGUUCCUUUCAUGAGAUCUCAUGGCUUUAUCCUCCUCUCCCCCUUGAGGAGUGGGAAAUGGAGCUGCAGGCUUUUCCCUAUGUGUCUCUGAAUAGCGUUUCUG
Alexandromys fortis (reed vole) is the source of this 3879-nucleotide long non-coding RNA. RefSeq lists it as uncharacterized. The transcript is spliced from 4 exons. The record is from RefSeq and is a predicted model, not a curated record. NCBI's taxonomy places the organism in Eukaryota, Metazoa, Chordata, Mammalia, Rodentia, Cricetidae.